Molecule: long non-coding RNA, 1429 nt
Filed under: Lynx pardinus (Iberian lynx)
Lineage: Eukaryota; Metazoa; Chordata; Mammalia; Carnivora; Felidae
Source: RNAcentral
CCCCAGAGGGCACGCUGGCACGACGGUCACCCGCCUGCUCCUGGCGGUGGCCAAGGCAUUUAUUUGUGGGCGUCCCGAGAGACGGAGCCGUUUGUGGUACGUGUUUCCCCAGAGUCCGGUUCCCACUGGGGAGUCAGGGUCCCCCUUUCCUUCCCAACACCCGCCCCCGGGGCCGUUCCGCAGCAGCCCCCGCGGGCCAGGCCCCGCACCCCAGCCGGUGGCUUUGGGGACUCCGCGUGGGGCUGACGUGCCCAACUAGUCAUGCUCUGUAUCUGGGCCUCCACGGAUGUAUUUCCAAUCGUAAAAUGUGUCGUUCAAAAAACAUAUGUGUCAGUGGAGUCCUCGCUGAGCCUGAACCACAUGGGACAUAGUUGUUCUAAUAAACACGAAUGGGCCAGUGUUCACAUUAGAGAGGGAACAGUUUCUCGUGGAAAGGCGGUGCUUUUAACAGAGGCUAAUUAAUAAACAGCGGGUAAUUGUUCGUGGCACAUUGUGGCGGAGAGUAAUUUUCGUUUCAGAGGGUAGAAGGGCCAAACCCCCCUCCCCCCUCAGCCCUUCUGUGUAAUAACCACCUUGGCUUCACCUCUGCCUUGAAUUUUUACAGCUGGAGCUGUUUACCAUCUUCCAACUCUCACGAAGAAAGGAAAAACUAUCACUUAGAGCCAUCGAAAACUCAGCAUCGUACGUGGAUUUCUUCACGUAAAUAAAUCACACGAAGCGAGACUCGUGUUCUCCGAGUGACAUCAUCCGCUGAAGGCCGCCUCCCCCGUCAGAUCAGCGUUGGGUGCUUUCCUCCUCGUGCGGGCGCCCUUUCCGCAAGACCUGGGUCAGCCCGGCACGACCGGGUCCAGAGGGCGAAAACAGUUCCAACUUCACAGACUGCUCGGAAGCUUUGCUUUGGAACCAUAGGUUCUGAGGUUGAAAGGCCGUGAACGCGUCCAGAAGAAACGUGUGCAGCGCCCAGCGGGAGGUGAAGGCCCUUUGGGUCCUUCCGGAGCCGACGGUGACGCUGGCUGCGGCGUCAUCCCCUUGAAAUGAACGAGGAACCGGAAAAUCACCGGGAAGGCGUCCAGGAGAUGUGGCGCAUUUGGCCACGAGAAGGGACAAAGUCCUGACACGUGCCACAACGCGUGUGACCUCGGAAACAUUAUUCUCGGUGAAAGAAACUAGUCACGAGGCCACGUGUCGUCUGGGUCCAUUUACAAGAUGUCUAGGACAGGAAAGUCCGCAGAGACAGAAGGUGGAGGGGUGGCUGACAGGGGCUGGGGGAGGAGUGGGGGGGGGGUGACUGUUGACGGACGUGGGUCUCCUUCUGCUGGGUGAGGACCGUGUUCUGGAACCAGCUGGCUGUACUCAAUGCUAUCACACCGUUCCCUGUAAGACGGUAAAUGUUACGCUGUGUGGACUGGAUCUCAAUACAUCCGUUAUU